CUACGGGCGGCUGCAGUGGGGAAUAUUGCACAAUGGAGGAAACUCUGAUGCAGCAACGCCGCGUGGAGGAUGACACAUUUCGGUGCGUAAACUCCUUUUAUAUGAGAAGAUAAUGACGGUAUCAUAUGAAUAAGCACCGGCUAACUCCGUGCCAGCAGCCGCGGUAAUACGGGGGGUGCAAGCGUUACUCGGAAUCACUGGGCGUAAAGAGCAUGUAGGCGGAUAGAAAAGUUGGAAGUGAAAUCCUGUGGCUUAACCAUAGAACUGCUUCCAAAACUCUCUAUCUAGAAUAUGGGAGAGGUAGAUGGAAUUUCUGGUGUAGGGGUAAAAUCCGUAGAGAUCAGAAGGAAUACCGAUUGCGAAGGCGAUCUACUGGAACAUUAUUGACGCUGAGAUGCGAAAGCGUGGGGAGCAAACAGGAUUAGAUACCCGCGUAGUC
RNAcentral lists this ribosomal RNA (439 nucleotides) under uncultured bacterium. Its description in RNAcentral is "partial 16S ribosomal RNA". It matches the Rfam family "Bacterial small subunit ribosomal RNA", at positions 339 to 795 of the family's 1533-position model. The record is from RNAcentral.